GUGGGGAAUCUUGCGCAAUGGGCGAAAGCCUGACGCAGCCAUGCCGCGUGAAUGAUGAAGGUCUUAGGAUUGUAAAAUUCUUUCACCGGGGACGAUAAUGACGGUACCCGGAGAAGAAGCUCCGGCUAACUUCGUGCCAGCAGCCGCGGUAAUACGAAGGGGGCUAGCGUUGCUCGGAAUUACUGGGCGUAAAGGGCGCGUAGGCGGACAGCUUAGUCAGAGGUGAAAGCCCAGGGCUCAACCUUGGAAUUGCCUUUGAUACUGGCUGUCUUGAGUACGGGAGAGGUGAGUGGAACUCCGAGUGUAGAGGUGAAAUUCGUAGAUAUUCGGAAGAACACCAGUGGCGAAGGCGACUCACUGGCCCGUUACUGACGCCGAGGCGCGAAAGCGUGGGGAGCAAACAGGAUUAGAUACCCCCAGUAGUCC
RNAcentral lists this ribosomal RNA (426 nucleotides) under uncultured bacterium. RNAcentral describes it as "partial 16S ribosomal RNA". It matches the Rfam family "Bacterial small subunit ribosomal RNA", at positions 354 to 796 of the family's 1533-position model. The record is from RNAcentral.